Molecule: long non-coding RNA, 370 nt
Filed under: Parus major (Great Tit)
Lineage: Eukaryota; Metazoa; Chordata; Aves; Passeriformes; Paridae
Description: lncRNA (ENSPMJG00000004980.1)
Source: RNAcentral
UGCCUCAGUCUUCUACCCUGAAGUAUUUUCUGAUCACCACACCAAGCAAGGCUGUUGGGAUCUUUUAGGUUUCCAAAACCUGAUGGAGGAAUUUGGUCACGUCUUCAUCUAUUGCAAGUGACAUUUGGGCUGCCCCAUCUGCAAAACACCUGAUGGCAUCAUGAGCUGCUCUGGGAAACAUCUGGUCUUGAGAAGUGGAAACAACCUGGGAUUCCUAUUUUUGGGGUUUGCACUGGUUCCACCCACGAUGGAAAAUGCUGGAAAUGAGAAGAGUGAAAAGCCCAAACUGGUGUCAGGCUGACAAGGCUUCUCCUGGCUUUUCAAAGUGGUCACUGUGAAUUAUCAGGCCUGGCAGGUAAAUACAGUGGAG